GUAGCAGUGUAGAUUGUGUGUGUGUGUGUGUGUGUGAUCCACAAUAUUUGUUGUAAUGAAUCUCAGUGGCCUGCUUCACAGAAGAUCCUGGCAGCUUUUGCCACCAAGGGCUUACAGUUGUUUGUCUUUGCAGACUCCAGCUGCCUGAGCUGCCACACCACUCACCCUGCCAGAGCUGCCCCCACUUCUGCAUGUGUGCCCACCGCCAACCCCUGCAGCUGCAUGUGUGCAUGAUGCCAGCCCCAGCCUCCAAAGCUUCGCAUGCACAUGCAUCUGGCCCGCACAGCCACGCAUGCACUGCACUUGGACCAACCCUUGCCACUGGCAGCAGCCCUCACCAUCAUGUAUUUGCCUGCAGCCAGCCC
This 365-nucleotide long non-coding RNA is filed under the name Homo sapiens (human). Its description in RNAcentral is "non-protein coding lnc-CCDC54-3:1". Lineage: Eukaryota; Metazoa; Chordata; Mammalia; Primates; Hominidae. The record is from RNAcentral.